This 566-nucleotide ribosomal RNA is filed under the name uncultured bacterium. RNAcentral's name for it is "partial 16S ribosomal RNA". It matches the Rfam family "Bacterial small subunit ribosomal RNA", at positions 355 to 914 of the family's 1533-position model. The record is from RNAcentral.
UGGGGAAUUUUGGACAAUGGGCGAAAGCCUGAUCCAGCAAUGCCGCGUGUGUGAAGAAGGCCUUCGGGUUGUAAAGCACUUUUGUCCGGAAAGAAAUCCUUGGCUCUAAUACAGUCGGGGGAUGACGGUACCGGAAGAAUAAGCACCGGCUAACUACGUGCCAGCAGCCGCGGUAAUACGUAGGGUGCAAGCGUUAAUCGGAAUUACUGGGCGUAAAGCGUGCGCAGGCGGUUUGCUAAGACCGAUGUGAAAUCCCCGGGCUCAACCUGGGAACUGCAUUGGUGACUGGCAGGCUAGAGUAUGGCAGAGGGGGGUAGAAUUCCACGUAUAGCAGUGAAAUGCGUAGAGAUGUGGAGGAAUACCGAUGGCGAAGGCAGCCCCCUGGGCCAAUACUGACGCUCAUGCACGAAAGCGUGGGGAGCAAACAGGAUUAGAUACCCUGGUAGUCCACGCCCUAAACGAUGUCAACUAGUUGUUGGGGAUUCAUUUCCUUAGUAACGUAGCUAACGCGUGAAGUUGACCGCCUGGGGAGUACGGUCGCAAGAUUAAAACUCAAAUGAAUUGAC